Molecule: long non-coding RNA, 1915 nt
Organism: Mytilus californianus (California mussel)
Lineage: Eukaryota; Metazoa; Mollusca; Bivalvia; Mytilida; Mytilidae
Exons: 2
Source: RefSeq, a predicted model, not a curated record
GGUUCUUUUUUUUUUCUUUUUUUCCUUUUUUUUUUCUUUUAAAAUUUUCCAUUUUAAGUUGGUUAUUUCUGAUUUAUAUUUAAAAGCAAAUAAUAAUGAUAUGGUAGGAAAUACACACCAAACAGGAUGUGUAAAUUAUUAUACAAUAAGUAUUGUGCAAUAGCAAGAAAUUUUCAAUUGCACAGUAUUGCACAAUAGCAAGAAAUCUUCAAUUGCACAGUAUUGCGCAAUAGCAAGAAAUCUUCAAUUGCACAGUAUUGCGCAAUAGCAAGAAAUAUCCAAUAGCACAAUAUUGCGCAAUAGCAAGAAAUUGUCAAUUGUACAGUAUUGCGCAAUAGCAAGAAAUAUUCAAUUGCACAGUAUUGUGCAAAAGAAUAUACUUCGUAUAAAUUGCUUAUUUCUUGAUCAAUUUCAAUGGGGUUUUAUUCUUGAAUUCUUGGGGUUCUUUAAUAUGCUGAAUCUAACCAUGUAUUAAGUUUUUGGAUUUUGGGCCCUGUUUUUAAAUUGGUCCACAUUGAGGUCCAAAGGGUCCAAAAUUUAACUUUGUUUGAUUUCAUCAAAAAUUGAAUUAUUGGGGUUCUUUAAUAUGCCGAAUCUAACCGUGUAUUUAGAUUCUUAAUUUUUGGUUCCAUUUUCAAAUUGGUCUUCAUAAAGGUCCAAAGGGUCCAAAAUUAAACUUAGUUUGAUUUUAACAAAAAUUGAAUUUUUAGGGUUCUUUGAUAUGCUGAAUCUAAACAUGUGUUUAGAUUUUUGAUUAUGGGCCCAGUUUUCAAGUUGGUCCAAAUCGGGGUCCAAAAUUAAACUUUAUUUGAUUUCAACAAAAAUUGAAUAUAUGGGGUUCUUUGAUAUGCUGAAUCUAACCAUGUAUUUAGAUUUUUGAUUUUUGGGCCCCGUUAUCAACUUUGUCCACAUUGAGAUCAAAAGGGUCCAAAAUUAAACUUUGUUUGAUUUCAUCAAAAAUUGAAUUCUUGGGGUUCUUUGAUAUGCUGAAUCUGACCAUGUAUUUAGAUUUUGGAUAUUGGACCAUAAUAGGUGAAUGUCCAAUUUAAAUUUUUUAAGUUCUUAGACCACAUUCAUUCUGUGUCAGAAACCUAUGCUGUGUCAAAUAUUUAAUCACAAUCCAAAUGCAAAGCUGUAUCAAGCUUGAAUGUUGUGUCCAUACUUGCCCCAACUGUUCAGGGUUCGACCUCUGCGGUCGUAUCAAGCUGCGCCCUGCUGGGGAGCAUUUUAUUUUUCCAUAGAAUACCAAUAUAUAUGUUAAAAAUAUAUUGACAUUUAUUGUCAAUAAAUAUCCUGUAUGUCUGGAUAGUAUGCUCUUUUUUUUUUUUUUUUAACAUGUGUCAUAUUGUCAUAAUUUUCAGGAACCCAACCUAACCUAUAUUACUUAAAUCUAUUUAUCAUAUUAACUCAGAUGUACAUCAUCAAAUCAAAAAUUAGAAUGUACAUUUUCUAUGAAAGUUACUCUCUAAUUUAGUGGUGCUUGUUCAUUGAUUCUUCUAAAAAUCAAAGACAUUUAAAAGUUUCUUUCCUUCUGUUAAAAAUUAUCACUUUUAUGAUCUCUAUUCCAUGUAGAAAGCUCAUGAAUACUGUAAAUUCAAAAAUUAAUGUGUGCGUUUAUUAUUGGGAAUCCUUGACCAUUGGCAAAAAGAUUUUAUGAAGGAAACUCACUACUAAAAUUAUGAAUGCAAGUUUUUUUUAAUGUUAACCUUAAACUGCCGCACUUUUAGCAUCAAUCUAAACAUGGCAAUAAUUUCUGAAUUUACAGUAUUGAAUAAAGUGUCACCAUGAUGCAGUAUGAAUUUGUUGAAGGUUCUUAAAGUUAAUUAUAUUUUACUUAAAUGUUUUGUCUCUGUAAGAAAAGAUGUUAAAGGUAUUUGUUCUUGUUUAGUUUAUGAAAGUAAAUAUUUGUACCUUU